RNAcentral lists this long non-coding RNA (1104 nucleotides) under Capra hircus (goat). RNAcentral's name for it is "lncRNA (ENSCHIG00000002095.1)". Lineage: Eukaryota; Metazoa; Chordata; Mammalia; Artiodactyla; Bovidae. The record is from RNAcentral.
AUGCAGCCGCCUUUAAGCAGAGGGCGCAUCUCAGUCUCCAUAAAGCUUCACCAGGGCCGCGCCAGGGCGGUGGUGGCUGGAGAGUCCAGGGGCUGCUUAGGGACAAUGGGAAGCAGCCGGCGUCAACGUCGGCUCACCCAGAGGACCUACGUCCGGCGUCGCGCAGGCAGGGAUCAGAGCAGGGAGCGCGCAGAACACCACGGAGAUCGACCAGCCGACUCCGCAUCAGGUGCCGGGCGUACGCCUGGGGCGCUCCUCCCGGGUGGGCGUCCUAGUAGCACCACACAGCCAGGGAGAACAUCUCCUGCUCCCCCUGCUCUCAGCUGGCUAAGACCCUCCAGCGGUCAGCAAAGGGGGCCAGGCUGGUGCCCAAGUUUCUGCAGAUCCCCUCCUGAGAGAGGGGAGGAGUGCCCACCCCGCUCCUGCCAGGGCUCUGCAGGCCCCCGGGCUUCACUUCUGCAUUGCGACAGAGCGGAGCUGGUGGAUCUACCGGCGAGAGACGCCCAUUUCUCCUGAGCCAGGAAUUUUACACUCCGAGGAUGAGAAGGCUUCUCCCAGCCUAGCCUGCAACGCUCUCUUCUGAUUUUAUGUGAGCUUUUACCCUAAUAAACCUUUUAAAAUAUACACUAAUUGUGUUUAUUGUAUUCUUUUGUUAUCACGUGUGUCGUUAUGGGCAUGGCUCUCCCUGGGGUCUCAGGGCCUUUCCCAGCCUCACGCUGUGUUGUCUGUCCCUGUGGCUGUGUGUGGCUCUGUGUCCCUGUGUGUGUAUCUGUGCGUCCCUGUGUCUGUGUGUGGCUCUGUGUCCCUGUGUGUGUGUCUGGGUGUUCCUGUGGCUGUGUGUGUCUGUGUGUCCCUGUGGCUGUGUGUAUCUGUGUGUCCCUGUGAGUGUGUGUCUGUGUGUCCCAGUGAGUGUGUGUGUCUAUGUGUCCCUGUGUAUAUGUCUGUGUGUCCUUGUGUGUGUGUCUGUGUCUCCCUGUGGCCCUGUGUGUGUGUGUCUGCGUGUCCCUGUGAGUGUGUGUCUGUGGCCCUGUGUGUGUGUAUCUGUGUGUCCCUGUGGCUGUGUGUGUCUAUGUGUCCCUGUGGGUGUGUGUGUCUGUGUGUCCC